Molecule: ribosomal RNA, 115 nt
Organism: Danio rerio (zebrafish)
Lineage: Eukaryota; Metazoa; Chordata; Actinopteri; Cypriniformes; Danionidae
Source: Ensembl
GCCGGCAGCUAGCUAUCUGCAACUCCCACAAAGUCACCCACUGAAGCUAAGCAGGGCUGCCCCUGCUCAGUACCCGGAUGGGAGACCACAUGGGAAAGCUAGGUUGCAGCUGGAA